ACCCAGCAGUGGAUCAUUUGGUCAGUGGUUUGUAAAGGUACAACAUGGACAUUUGACCAUUUCCAUAUUAUCCAUAUCCUCCCAUUUGGUGCACAAGCAUAGUUAUUUGCAAUGUUCCAGUCAUCUCCAAGUUUCUUGUAUAUUGUCUGUGAUUGUGGUUGUUUUACUCUAGUUUCUAGACAAGCUACCAUAUCAACUUUGUUGGACCUCAAG
This 213-nucleotide long non-coding RNA is filed under the name Nicotiana benthamiana. RNAcentral's name for it is "long non-coding RNA (NBEN_LNC025865)". Lineage: Eukaryota; Viridiplantae; Streptophyta; Magnoliopsida; Solanales; Solanaceae. The record is from RNAcentral.